This 468-nucleotide ribosomal RNA is filed under the name uncultured bacterium. RNAcentral describes it as "partial 16S ribosomal RNA". It matches the Rfam family "Bacterial small subunit ribosomal RNA", at positions 28 to 506 of the family's 1533-position model. The record is from RNAcentral.
GACGAACGCUGGCGGCGUGCUUAACACAUGCAAGUCGAACGGAAAGGCCCUGCUUGCAGGGUGCUCGAGUGGCGAACGGGUGAGUAACACGUGGGUGAUCUGCCCCUUAUUUUGGGAUAAGCCUGGGAAACUGGGUCUAAUACUGGAUAGGACCAUGCUGUAGGUGGUGUGGUGGAAAGAUUAGUUUCGGUAAGGGAUGAGCUCGCGGCCUAUCAGCUUGUUGGUGGGGUAAUGGCCUACCAAGGCGUCGACGGGUAGCCGGCCUGAGAGGGUGGACGGCCACAUUGGGACUGGGAUACGGCCCAGACUCCUAGGGGGGGCAGAAGGGGGGAAUAUUGCACAAUGGGGGCAAGCCUGAUGCAGCGACGCCGCGGGGGGGAUGACGGCCUUCGGGUUGUAAACCCCUUUCAGCCAUGACGAAGCCCUUGUGGGGACGGUAGUGGUAGAAGAAGCCCCGGCUAACUACGU